UCCUGUGGAUUCUGUGGGUCCUGUGGGUUGCAGGGUGGGUUCUACCUAGACCAGGCUGAUCCUGGACCAUCCCACAGAUGCUCCAUCAGAUCUGGAUGUGGGGAGUGUGGAAUCCAGAUGUUCAGAGGGAGAUGAUGCCACAUCUGGUCCAGCUGAUGGAAGGUCUUGAAGUUCUCUGACUGGCCUCGACUGAAGAUGGUCGUCUCACUGGAUUUAAGGUUCAGAUGCUCAGUAACAAACUCCACCAAUGAGCCAACAGGGAAGCUUUAGGUUUAUUGAAUGUUGCUAUGAAGGUUUCACAGUUUUUCUUUGUGAAUGCAAUGUGCUCCAACUGAAACUUGAAUUAGAACUUAGAAGUAAAUCCUUCCAUCUGAAAGGAUUUAGUUGCAUUAAUAACCCCAUAACAUUCUAAUUUUUAUUCCAGUCUUGGUUGGAAAUAGAAUCUCUGUAUUGAUUCAGGUAAAAACUGAACUUCACAGCAUGUUGGAGCAAAACAACCAGAUGAAAACUGUGAUGGUGUUGGAUUGUCAGACUGUAAUGUUGCAGCUCAAAGCAGCUUUUCUGUCUCAGUUCAUUCUGACAUUCAGCUAUGAAUCAACACAGCAGAUGGUGAUCCAUGCUGUGGAAGUCUCACAUCUCCUGAUUUAAUGGAGCUGCUUUGCACUUUUUACACUGUUUAUUCACCAACACUUUAUUUUAUAAAAGUUCCAUCUAGUUUUUAUGAGGAAUGUGAUGUUUUAAUUUCUCUGUGAAUAACUGCAGUCUAAUGGAAGAGCUGGAACUGUAACAUCUGUCCUGAUAUUGAUCAUGAAGUAUUGAUCAGAAUACUUAUGGUCAGCAGUCAUCCCUGAAGUUUUACAUUAAAAUCUUUACUUGUGUUGUGAACUUUGGUAAGAAGCAGAAACUUUAGCGUUGCCAUGGAUACAUGAGUGUUAAAUUCUGUCCAUGUUUCCAUUUUGGGAAAUGCAGUCCAGCAGAUGAGUUUGUUUUUACUGCCAGCUACAUUCAGUCUGAGAUAUUAAGAAUAAAUAAAUGUGCAUAAUGUGGAAAUGAACAGAUUCUAUUUUUAUUUAUUCCUACAGCUGCUGCACGUAAAGUUCCAGAAUGUGGAGGAAUUUAGUCUCACAAUCACAGACAAUAAAUAUUAUCUGAAAGUUGGGUUAUUGUUGUUUAUCAGCACAAUACAAAAAGAUUCAUGUUAGACAUAUUCCAGUUAAGACUCUAGAAUAUCAUGAUUUAUGUAAAUUUACCUGAAUAAUAUGAAUGUUCAGGUUAAGAUUGUGCAGUGAUAUUUAUUAUGUAAGUUUAGCUGAUUAAAGUUUGACUCUGUACUACAAUAUUGUUAUUAUUAUUAUUAUAAUUUACAUCAUUAUUAUAAUAUUUAGGGUCAGACCCUACAGUAUUGAGAUUAAGAAAUCAAACAUUCUAUAAAAUGUAAAUACACUGAACUCAUUUGGAUAUAUUUAAGUGAGACUCUACAAUAUUAUUUGACACAAAUCUAUCUAAAUCCAAAUUUUAAUCAUUUUUACUCCAAACAUUUACUGGACUGAUUUAAAUAUUAAAAUCACUCCUUUCUAAUCCUCUGCUGUCUGUUCAAACCUGAGGCCUUAAAUAGAAACACACAAGUAUCUGAUUGAAGGAACUUCUGCAGAGUCCUGGUUCCACAACAUGAUGAUAGAAUUAUAGACAAACUUUAACAAAAGCUGCCUGAGAGUUUACAGGUUUUUAUGUUAGAUUUCUUCAGUAAUUUAAUAAGAGUUAUCAGCAAAAAUCAAGUGUUCAUUUGAUGAACUUCAUUUCCUAAAACAUCCAGAAUUGGAGCUCAUAUCUUUGGCAGCUGUAAAGUUUCUGCUCCUUCAAAGUUCACAACACACUGAAUGAAUUCCUAAAACAUUCUCAAUGCUGGAGAGCGUUUGUGAUGCUGAAGCAGUGAUCAGUUUUUCUGUUUCUUCUCUGGAGAUGCACAAUGAGGGACGUCUGCAGAGACUGAGAAAGAGUCUCACCACAUCCUGACAUGAGGAAAAAGACUUUAUUGAAGACUACAAUGAGAAAAACUAUCAGACAGCAGACGGCUGCAUUCAAGUUUAGGCUGUUAGAUUGUUCCAGAUAAGACGAGUACAAGAUUCUUCAGAGCCGUUCUACCACGAGCCUGACAGGAAGAACUCCAACAGCUACUGAAUGUUCCUGUGGUCCCCUCAAGGCUACAGGAGGAGUCCUACGAGGACGAGCCGGUCCACCUGAUGGCGGCCAGUCGCUGCGGUUCAAAGCCAACACCGACUACGUGGACUUCUACUGGACCACACGGAGGCCUUCAAACCGGACCAACAAGUUCAGCGACUCCCCGACUCGUGGGUCUGAGGACGCCGCCGAGCCUCGGUCCAGCCGGCCUCCUGUCUGUGGGUGUUUGAGUGCUGAGAGGUUUGUGGAUGCAUGUGAACGUUCUGUGUUGAAACAGCAGCUUUGGACUGAGUAACGCCAGGAAAAACCAAGAGCUCCUUUAUUUGUGACUUCCACUAAAAAAACUGAUGAAAAUAAGUUUGCCAGGGUUCUGACUGAUAACAGAUUAUUAGAUAAUGAAAAUAAUUGUUUAAAUAUUCCUUUAAACAAUCCUUUUAGGUCUACAUUUCCUUUACACUGAAUUCUUGGUAUAUGUACAAGUAUUUUGGGUGGAAUAUACCAUUAAGCCCAAUGUUCGAGGGUUCUGGGAAUAUACCAUUACACCAACCUUUUAGGUAAAUGUUCCAAAAUGUUGGGUAGAAGAUACUAUCAGAUCAACCUUUUAGGUCUACAUUGGAAGAUUUUAGAGUAGAAUAUUACUCCAAACUAUCCUUUAGGUCUACAUUUAAGGUGGAAUACUCCUUUACACCAAGAUUUUUUUGGUCCACAUUGAAGGACUUUAGGUGGAAUAUUCCUUUGAACGAACUUUUUAAGUUUAUGUUCAAGGAUGUUGGGUGGAAUAUACCAUCAGACCAACUUCCAAGGUCUACAGUAGUGAAUUUUAGGUGGAAUAUACCAUUAAACUCACCUUUUAGGUCGACAGUGGAGGAUUUUAGGUGGAAUUUUCUUCCAAACCAUCUUUUAGUCUACAUUUAAGGAUAUUUAGGAUGGUAUGUUCUUCCAAACCAACUUCUCAGGUCUACAUUUCAGGUGGAAUAUUCCUCCAUACUAACUUUUUUGGUCGACAUUGAAGGAUUUUUUCUAAACCACCCUAUGGGGUCUAUAUUUGAGGUUUUAGGUGGAAUAUUCCUUUUAACCAGCCCCUCAGGUCUCUUUGAGGAUUUUGGAUGGAAUACUCGGUUAAACCAACAUUUUAGGUGCAUGUCUAAGGAUUUUUGCUGGAAUGUUCCUUUAAGGUGGAUGUGUGAGGACCUUGUAGGUGGAAUACUUCCUGAAACCAACCUUUUAGGUCAACAUUCAAAGAUUUAAGGUGGAAUAUUCCUUUAAACCAACCUGAAUUUCAUGUUAUGAUCAUUAUCAAGUGAGAAACCUCAAUCCAGACUCCUCAUAAUGACGUUUGAGAUUUAUGCUGCUGUUAUUUACUUAGUCCAGACUAAAUGACAGAAAUCCACAACUGUAAUUUUAUUUCAGGACUCGGUUAUUAAAUGUCAAAACAAUCCAUGUGAUUCUAAAAACUCAACAGCUUUACAAACUCUAAGAUUAAACUCUCCACAAGGAUCCAAAAUAAGUUUGACUGCUACAUGAGGGCCUUAAUUAUUCUUCAUCUACUUCCUGAAAAGUUUGGUCAAUAAAAAAGACAAAAACUAAUAUUUUCAGCUGAACUAAAGAUAGACUUUGUGAUUUUUCUGCUCACAUGUUGUGUUUUUGUAAACUUCCUCUUUCAAAUAAAUAUCCUCCUAACCCCC
Molecule: long non-coding RNA, 3863 nt
Organism: Amphiprion ocellaris (clown anemonefish)
Lineage: Eukaryota; Metazoa; Chordata; Actinopteri; Pomacentridae
Source: Ensembl